GGUUAAGCGACUAAGCGUACACGGUGGAUGCCCUGGCAGUCAGAGGCGAUGAAGGACGUGCUAAUCUGCGAAAAGCGUCGGUAAGGUGAUAUGAACCGUUAUAGCCGGCGAUGUCCGAAUGGGGAAACCCAGUGUGAUUCGUCACACUAUCGUUAACUGAAUACAUAGGUUAACGAGGCGAACCGGGGGAACUGAAACAUCUAAGUACCCCGAGGAAAAGAAAUCAACCGAGAUUCCCCCAGUAGCGGCGAGCGAACGGGGAGCAGCCCAGAGUCUGAAUCAGCUUGUGUGUUAGUGGAACGGUCUGGAAAGUCCGACGGUACAGGGUGAUAGUCCCGUACACCAAAAUGCACAGGUUGUGAACUCGAAGAGUAGGGCGGGACACGUGGUAUCCUGUCUGAAUAUGGGGGGACCAUCCUCCAAGGCUAAAUACUCCUGACUGACCGAUAGUGAACCAGUACCGUGAGGGAAAGGCGAAAAGAACCCCGGCGAGGGGAGUGAAAAAGAACCUGAAACCGUGUACGUACAAGCAGUGGGAGCACCUUCGGGUGUGACUGCGUACCUUUUGUAUAAUGGGUCAGCGACUUAUAUUCUGUAGCAAGGUUAACCGUAUAGGGGAGCCGCAGGGAAACCGAGUCUUAACUGGGCGUUAAGUUGCAGGGUAUAGACCCGAAACCCGGUGAUCUAGCCAUGGGCAGGUUGAAGGUUGGGUAACACUAACUGGAGGACCGAACCGACUAAUGUUGAAAAAUUAGCGGAUGACUUGUGGCUGGGGGUGAAAGGCCAAUCAAACCGGGAGAUAGCUGGUUCUCCCCGAAAGCUAUUUAGGUAGCGCCUCGUGAAUUCAUCUUCGGGGGUAGAGCACUGUUUCGGCUAGGGGGUCAUCCCGACUUACCAACCCGAUGCAAACUACGAAUACCGAAGAAUGUUAUCACGGGAGACACACGGCGGGUGCUAACGUCCGUCGUGAAGAGGGAAACAACCCAGACCGCCAGCUAAGGUCCCAAAGUCAUGGUUAAGUGGGAAACGAUGUGGGAAGGCACAGACAGCCAGGAUGUUGGCUUAGAAGCAGCCAUCAUUUAAAGAAAGCGUAAUAGCUCACUGGUCGAGUCGGCCUGCGCGGAAGAUGUAACGGGGCUAAACCAUGCACCGAAGCUGCGGCAGCGACGCUCAGGCGUUGUUGGGUAGGGGAGCGUUCUGUAAGCCUGCGAAGGUGACCUGUGAGGGUUGCUGGAGGUAUCAGAAGUGCGAAUGCUGACAUAAGUAACGAUAAAGCGGGUGAAAAGCCCGCUCGCCGGAAGACCAAGGGUUCCUGUCCAACGUUAAUCGGGGCAGGGUGAGUCGACCCCUAAGGCGAGGCCGAAAGGCGUAGUCGAUGGGAAACAGGUUAAUAUUCCUGUACUUGGUGUUACUGCGAAGGGGGGACGGAGAAGGCUAUGUUAGCCGGGCGACGGUUGUCCCGGUUUAAGCAUGUAGGCUGGUUAUCCAGGCAAAUCCGGAUAAUCAAGGCUGAGGUGUGAUGACGAGGCACUACGGUGCUGAAGUAACAAAUGCCCUGCUUCCAGGAAAAGCCUCUAAGCAUCAGGUAACAUCAAAUCGUACCCCAAACCGACACAGGUGGUCAGGUAGAGAAUACCAAGGCGCUUGAGAGAACUCGGGUGAAGGAACUAGGCAAAAUGGUGCCGUAACUUCGGGAGAAGGCACGCUGGUGUGUAGGUGAAGUCCCUGCGGAUGGAGCUGAGACCAGUCGAAGAUACCAGCUGGCUGCAACUGUUUAUUAAAAACACAGCACUGUGCAAACACGAAAGUGGACGUAUACGGUGUGACGCCUGCCCGGUGCCGGAAGGUUAAUUGAUGGGGUUAUCCGUAAGGAGAAGCUCUUGAUCGAAGCCCCGGUAAACGGCGGCCGUAACUAUAACGGUCCUAAGGUAGCGAAAUUCCUUGUCGGGUAAGUUCCGACCUGCACGAAUGGCGUAAUGAUGGCCAGGCUGUCUCCACCCGAGACUCAGUGAAAUUGAACUCGCUGUGAAGAUGCAGUGUACCCGCGGCAAGACGGAAAGACCCCGUGAACCUUUACUAUAGCUUGACACUGAACAUUGAGCCUUGAUGUGUAGGAUAGGUGGGAGGCUUUGAAGCGUGGACGCCAGUCUGCGUGGAGCCAACCUUGAAAUACCACCCUUUAAUGUUUGAUGUUCUAACGUGGGCCCCUGACCGGGGUUGCGGACAGUGUCUGGUGGGUAGUUUGACUGGGGCGGUCUCCUCCCAAAGCGUAACGGAGGAGCACGAAGGUUAGCUAAUCCUGGUCGGACAUCAGGAGGUUAGUGCAAUGGCAUAAGCUAGCUUGACUGCGAGCGUGACGGCGCGAGCAGGUGCGAAAGCAGGUCAUAGUGAUCCGGUGGUUCUGAAUGGAAGGGCCAUCGCUCAACGGAUAAAAGGUACUCCGGGGAUAACAGGCUGAUACCGCCCAAGAGUUCAUAUCGACGGCGGUGUUUGGCACCUCGAUGUCGGCUCAUCACAUCCUGGGGCUGAAGUAGGUCCCAAGGGUAUGGCUGUUCGCCAUUUAAAGUGGUACGCGAGCUGGGUUUAGAACGUCGUGAGACAGUUCGGUCCCUAUCUGCCGUGGGCGCUGGAGAAUUGAGGGGGGCUGCUCCUAGUACGAGAGGACCGGAGUGGACGCAUCACUGGUGUUCGGGUUGUCAUGCCAAUGGCACUGCCCGGUAGCUAAAUGCGGAAGAGAUAAGUGCUGAAAGCAUCUAAGCACGAAACUUGCCCCGAGAUGAGUUCUCCCUGAGACUAUAAGUCUCCUGAAGGAACGUUGAAGACGACGACGUUGAUAGGCCGGGUGUGUAAGCGCAGCGAUGCGUUGAGCUAACCGGUACUAAUGAACCGUGAGGCUUAACCUU
Molecule: ribosomal RNA, 2903 nt
Filed under: Klebsiella quasipneumoniae
Lineage: Bacteria; Pseudomonadati; Pseudomonadota; Gammaproteobacteria; Enterobacterales; Enterobacteriaceae
Description: 23S ribosomal RNA
Rfam family: Bacterial large subunit ribosomal RNA
Source: RNAcentral